This is a long non-coding RNA of Oenanthe melanoleuca, 2503 nucleotides long. RefSeq lists it as uncharacterized. The record is from RefSeq and is a predicted model, not a curated record. The transcript has 4 exons. Lineage: Eukaryota; Metazoa; Chordata; Aves; Passeriformes; Muscicapidae.
CAGAGGGAGGUUGAGGAGGGUUUGUAACCAGUGAGGGUGACCAGUGGUGAUUCAGGAGUGCUGUCACUGAGAUGCUGCAGGGUCACUGUGGGCAGCUGCCUGCCCUGGAAAGGGGAAUGCUGGUUGCACAGGAAAGCUACAGCAGGAAUGGUGGAACAUGGAUUGUAAGACUUGCUUGGUUCUAGCUCUCAGUAUUCAUCCAGAGAGACAGAAAACUGAAAUUGAUCCUCUUCCUCCACAAAGAAAAAGCAGUUCUCGGUGGUAUCCAUAUUUAUUUAUUUUUUCUCUCAGAAUAUGUGGUGCAGUUGAUCCCCAGAAGCUUCUCAAGGGCAAUUAAAGCAAGUCAUACUGUGGGAGCAUUUGUUGUGCUGAAUCUUGUAUUUCUCUUUCUACCCAGCUGAGUCAGAACAGCUGCUUAGCAAAGGAUCUGAAGAGGUUUCGGAAGCAGUUAGAAAGGGAAGCGGGAAACCCUGAGGCAAGAAACAGUGUCUUUAUUCUGAAGACCCUCAAAAUGCUUUCAGAGUACUAUUUGUUUGUGGAAGAAUUUUGCAAGAUCCCUGGCAUCACUUGGGUUAUGACACUGGUAAGUGUGUGCUCUCCCAAGGAAAGUGAGAGAUGAAUGGAUGCCUUCGUUCUUCAAACAGAGAGGAAAAUAUGCAGGAAACCCGCAGGAAGAAUUGGGCAGAGCAAGGUUACAUGGAGCAGCCAUGCUCCUGGCCAGGUUCCUGAACAACACGUACCACCAAAACACUGCUUCUUGUGUAAGAGUUUAUUUCAGCAGCCGAAAGUCAGCUCAGUUUAUUUGUAGAACCAAAGUUAAAACAGUGGUGAAGGUAUAAAGUGCAGAGUUCUGUGUGGAAGAACAGACUGUGCUCCCAGGGGUUAUGGCUGUGGGGUUAUGGCUGAGUUCAUGCUCUGGAAUCUUUCUGUUCAGCUGCAGGUGUGCAAGAAGUUGGAGGUGUGUGCAAGACAGGUGGCUAAUUUGGCUUCUGGUUAACGAGCAUUAGGGCAGCCCCAAAGAUGGAGCUGUGAAAGCAUCUGUUUGGAUUUAGGGAAAUCCUGUUGUGUUAGAUGUCAAGUCUAGUGUAAACUUACAGGGUGGAAUUCCAUCCUGAGAAUGUGAGGAGGUUAUGGAAGACUAUCACAGAAGCCCGGAAUGGUUUGGGUUGGAGGGGAUCUUAAAGUUCAUCUCAUUCUAUCCCCCUGCCAUGGGCAGAGACAACUUUCACUAGGCCGGGUUGCUCAAAGCCCAGUCCAAUCUGUCCUUGAACACUUUCAGGGAGGGAUAUCCAUACCAGUCUGGAGCACAAGCUGAAGUGGAUUUGGUUAGCGUGAACUUCUCUCUCCCCUGCAGGCAGAGAAGGGCAGCCUUAUGCUCUGAGUCAUGUUUGUCCUCCUAAACCUGGAGCUGUGUUGAACACUACAGCUUUCACUUCAGCAAGUGAUCUGGGGAUUAAGGAAAAAUUGUGUUACCUUUAGAAAUUCUGACAAUACCAUGUGACACUGCCCGUGCCAGAGGAUUCAAGCCAUUUAACAUCUCAAGUGUUGUGCUGUGGUGCAUAGUUAAAAAGACACCCCUGUGAGUGAGCAGUCCCUCUGUUUUAUGCAGCAGGUCUGGUGAGGAGGCUGGGACAGGAUUUGUCUUACCCUUGUGAGAAGUGACUGGGAGGUUGGCAAGUCACAAGGUGGGGGAAUGUUCCUGAAAACUGAAAUGUAUAAUUGAUUGAAGAAGGCCAGAUGUUCCUCUCACAAACGUGGCAGCACAAAAAGCUGCACCUGACUGAUCCUGGGCAUGGAGGGGGACGUGCUGCCUGCAGGCUAUUCCUGGCUGCUUGCUGUGGGAUCUCUGGGAGGUGCAGCAGUGCACCAUCAGUACCAAUAAACCUCCCCCCAGAGAAGUUUGGCUGCCAGCAAUGAACCUCACCAAGUCCCUGGUGCACUGACUGAGAUGCAGGUCAGGAACUGAGGAUACUUAACAACAAGAUGCCCCUUUAAAACAGAAUUUGACUCAGUUAAGUUUGUUUGUUUGCUUGUUUGUUUUUUAACACAGAUUUUCUCCCUGGUUAAGUGAAAAAUAUUUAUCAUAAAAUGCAACUGAAAUUCUUGGAAAUUUAUCUGCUACAUUUGCAACCCAAGUAUUGCAGCAGCAGGAACCCGAGAAUGCAAUGGAUUUGUCAUUACAAGAGUUGAGAGAAACAGAGAUGGCAAAUAGCACUACAAAAAUGACAAGCAAAAAUAUGAUUAUUAUUCUUUCAGCCUUAGUCAUGUAAAGAGCAAGCAGAACCAUAGUAAGGCAAUUUCCCUUAGAUGUGACUUAUGUUGAAGGUGAUCUUCUAUGAAAUGCCUCUAAUUUAACUCUUCCUUCUUACAAGACAUGGUCACUGGUAUUACUUGUUACAGCACCGUGUCCUGUCAGCUUCAGCCCAAUAUUUCAAAUGGUGCCACUGGAGACAGUUUUAUUUCAAAUGAACAAAUAAAUUCAGCUCAGUUCUGGUCUGGGAUA